AUUGAACGCUGGCGGCAUGCCUUACACAUGCAAGUCGAACGGCAGCACGGGAGCAAUCCUGGUGGCGAGUGGCGAACGGGUGAGUAAUACAUCGGAACGUGCCCAAUCGCGGGGGAUAACGCAGCGAAAGCUGUGCUAAUACCGCAUACGAUCUACGGAUGAAAGCAGGGGACCGCAAGGCCUUGCGCCAUUGGAGCGGCCGAUGGCGGAUUAGGUAGUUGGUGGGGUAAAGGCUCACCAAGCCAACGAUCUGUAGCUGGUCUGAGAGGACGACCAGCCACACUGGAACUGAGACACGGCCCAGACUCCUACGGGAGGCAGCAGUGGGGAAUUUUGGACAAUGGGCGCAAGCCUGAUCCAGCCAUGCCGCGUGCAGGAUGAAGGCCUUCGGGUUGUAAACUGCUUUUGUACGGAACGAAACGGCCUUUUCUAAUAAAGAGGGCUAAUGACGGUACCGUAAGAAUAAGCACCGGCUAACUACGUG
This 484-nucleotide ribosomal RNA is filed under the name uncultured bacterium. RNAcentral describes it as "partial 16S ribosomal RNA". It matches the Rfam family "Bacterial small subunit ribosomal RNA", at positions 30 to 507 of the family's 1533-position model. The record is from RNAcentral.